GCUGCUGCAGCAGCAGAAGCGCUGACUCUUCCUCCCCACAACCAACCUUCGCCAGCGCCCCCCCCCCCCCGGGGCAGCUGCUGCCUUUAUGGGAAACGGGCGAAAACAUCGUGGCUGCUCAUCUGGUUCGGCACAUAUAUUUCUACUUAUCUACUGAUGCUGCCUCAAGGCCAAGAAAAGAAACAGUUGUUUAAAGCUGAGUUACUACAGUGCUUUCUGUGCAGUCUUUAAUAACUGAAAACUCACAGAGGUAGGUGGCCACACAGUGGGUAGAAUGUUGGGCUUGGAGCCGGGAAGACCUGAAUUUGAAUCCUGCCUCAGACGCUAGCUGCUCAACCCUGAGCAGGUCAGGGUUAUCUCUCAGUCCCAUUUGUCUUCAGCUGGCAGAUGUAAUAAUACCUUACGUAAUAAUACUUUAUGUUAUGAGAAUCAAAUGAGCUAACAACUUAUAAAACAAUUUACAGGCCUCAAAUACUAGUUAUUUUAAUAAUUAUUACAGAGACUAUUA
This is a long non-coding RNA of Vombatus ursinus (common wombat), 508 nucleotides long. RefSeq lists it as uncharacterized. The record is from RefSeq and is a predicted model, not a curated record. The transcript has 3 exons. Lineage: Eukaryota; Metazoa; Chordata; Mammalia; Diprotodontia; Vombatidae.